Molecule: long non-coding RNA, 1972 nt
Filed under: Malus domestica (apple)
Lineage: Eukaryota; Viridiplantae; Streptophyta; Magnoliopsida; Rosales; Rosaceae
Description: long non-coding RNA (MDOM_LNC008566)
Source: RNAcentral
CAUUCAUAAUGAAGAAACAUCCAAUGAUGGAUUAGAUUCAUAAUCUAAUACAUUUACGCUUCCAUUACAUUACUUUGAUUCUUCCUCGAUCUUUGAGGAAUUUAUCCUUUAGUAUUUCUUAAAUACUUAAGGACUCACUUGACAGUUGCCAUGGUUCUGAUCCUGGGCUUGCACUGAUAUCGUCUUGUACCGUUCUAGGUACAACUCAUAUCAAUGUUUUUCAUACAAUAUGAAAUACAUAAAUAACCUUUCUGCGUAUGCAUAAAGGAUUCUAUUUACGCAUUAUUUCUUUGGGAGUCAAAGGGGCACGUUCCCUUUGAGAAUGGCAACUUGCUAGUCUCACUAGAAUCGUCAUUCUUAUUGAAGUUUAUCAUCAUAUGAGAAACUUCCUAGCAUCCAUUGUCUAUUAUUAGGGAUUGAUAUAAUCCAAUUAUAUCAUGAAAUAUAUCAUUAUAGAUUUCCAUCCCAUGUAUAUAGACUAUAUCUCCCAUAUACAUUCUAUCUUCAUAUAAUGUAUUAAAGUCAUAACUUUAACGAAGAAGUAUUCUUUUCAUUUCCAAAAUUAAUAUAUCAUAUAUAUUUAAAUUUUUGGAACAUGAUUAACUCCCACUAAUCUUUUGUAAAACUCGUAAACAAAAGAUUCAUUUACAUUUUUAUGAGAAAUCAAACGAUUUGAUCCUUUUCCUCAUAAAAUGCAAAUAGCUCCCACUUGCUUGCUAAAAUCCAUGAUGGAUGGAUCUCUACAACUUACAUGUCUUGUGAUUUAUAGUUUUAGACAUAUAUUAUCAAGACUAUCUUAAUAAUGGUUUCGGAAACCCAUAUUAUGUCAAAACAUUGAAUCACCAUUUAGUUGUAGCUAGCAAUCUUCGAAUUAAUUGAAACUAAGACUACGUCAAAAAUGGUUCCUUUAAAGUCAACCAUUCUCUUUGAUUGUAGUCACCUUAAGCUACCAAUUAGCUUAUGAAGGUUUCAUUAUUUCGAGUCAAAUGGUACUUUACCAUUUCCUUGAGUAUAUAUCGUAUAUGCACUCAAUGUAGUCAUAAGGAUUUUCAUUCUUAUCGACUACCUUGGAGCUUGUGGUAUAGGAACUAGGUUGUUAUAUUUGUUGAUUACUAUCUUGUCUCUCAAAGAACCCAUUCUUCGAGUUCUAUCUCUCGUUCAUUUGCUCUUAGGCAAAUCACAUUGUAGAAUUACAAUGAACUACCCAACAAAACAACAUUUGUUAAUUGGUUUAUAGAAGCGAUAUCCAAAAGUUAUUUUAAGGAUAUCCUACAAGAUUGUUAUCAAACAAAUAUUGCUUAUUAGCACACAACCCCAAAUCUUUAACAUGCUUAAGAUUUGUCUUUCUUUCCAACUACAUCUUAUGGAGUCAUGAAAAUAUUGGAAGAUCUUCUCAUUGACAAUCAUAUUGUUUUAGAAGUAUAUAUCCUAUAUAUGGGUAAUAGAUAAUAUCUAACGAACUAAAUCUUAUUCAAGUUCGUUCUUCUCCUAAUGGAGAAAUACAUUAUCUUAUGAUGCUUAUUUCCUUGAUAUCUUUCAAGGAAACUGUUCUAAAGUGUUACCUUAUCUUGGAUCAAAUCUAAGGAGGUAAAUACUUUAGACGUCUUACUCAUCAACUUACAUUUCUUGAAUUCUUUGAAACAUUUUGCAAAGUAUUCGGACUUGUGUUUAUUCAAAAUAAACUAUAGUCCAACCGAGAGUGAUCUUCGGUGAAUGUUAAUCAACAUAAGUAGUAUUAUGUUUGUGGACAAGUGCCACUAACAUCUAAGUGAAUUGACCUUAACAACUUUGUGAUUCUUUCUUCUUUCCAAAAGAAUAAAGAUUCGAACAUUUCGCCUCUAUACAAUUUUAACAAGAAGGUAUUGGAUCCGGAUCUAACGAUCCAAAGCGUCCAUUUAUUGACCAACUCGUAAUUUAUGUUUUAGAGGUAUCACAACUUUAGUUGGGAUUAGUCACUACCUUGCAACCUUUU